GAUGAAGAACGCAGCGAAAUGCGAUAAGUAAUGUGAAUUGCAGAAUUCAGUGAAUCAUCGAAUCUUUGAACGCACCUUGCGCUCCUUGGUAUUCCGAGGAGCAUGCCUGUUUGAGUGUCAUUAAAUUCUCAACCAUUAUCAACUUUUGCUGAUAAUGGCUUGGAUGUGGGGGUCUAUUUUGCUGGCUUCUCAGAUAGUCAGCUCCCCUUAAAUGCAUUAGCCGGUGCCCCGCGUGGACUGUCUAUUGGUGUGAUAAUUAUCUACGCUAUAGACAUCUGCAAUCAUAUGGGUUUGCGCUGCUUCUAACAGUCUGUUGAUUCAGACAAUACAUGACAAUUUGACCUCAAAUCAGGUAGGACUACCCGCUGAACUUAAGCAUAUCAUAAGCGGAGGA
This 394-nucleotide unclassified non-coding RNA is filed under the name soil metagenome. Its description in RNAcentral is "partial contains 5.8S ribosomal RNA, internal transcribed spacer 2, and large subunit ribosomal RNA". The stretch from base 1 to 120 matches the Rfam family "5.8S ribosomal RNA", at positions 35 to 154 of the family's 154-position model. The record is from RNAcentral.